AUGGCCAUACCACAUUGAAAACACGGAUUCUCGUUCGAUCACCCAAGUUAAGCAACGUCGGGCACGGUCAGUACUUGGUAGGGCGACCACCUGGGAACACCAGGAGCUGUAGGCU
Molecule: ribosomal RNA, 115 nt
Filed under: Cordylochernes scorpioides
Lineage: Eukaryota; Metazoa; Arthropoda; Arachnida; Pseudoscorpiones; Chernetidae
Source: RNAcentral